GGUUGUGGCUCAGUGGUAGCGCACUUGCCUAGCAAGGUGGGAGGCCCUGAGUUUGAUCCUCAGCACCA
This 68-nucleotide transfer RNA is filed under the name Marmota monax (woodchuck). RNAcentral's name for it is "tRNA.Ala". The record is from RNAcentral. Lineage: Eukaryota; Metazoa; Chordata; Mammalia; Rodentia; Sciuridae.